UGGGGAAUAUUGGACAAUGGGCGCAAGCCUGAUCCAGCAAUACCGCGUGUGUGAAGAAGGCCUGAGGGUUGUAAAGCACUUUCAAUUGGGAGGAAAACCUACCGGUCAAUACCCGGUAGCUUGACAUUACCUUUAGAAGAAGCACCGGCUAACUCCGUGCCAGCAGCCGCGGUAAUA
This 177-nucleotide ribosomal RNA is filed under the name uncultured Methylobacter sp. Its description in RNAcentral is "partial 16S ribosomal RNA". It matches the Rfam family "Bacterial small subunit ribosomal RNA", at positions 355 to 525 of the family's 1533-position model. The record is from RNAcentral. Lineage: Bacteria; Pseudomonadati; Pseudomonadota; Gammaproteobacteria; Methylococcales; Methylococcaceae.